This is a long non-coding RNA of Coffea arabica (coffee), 526 nucleotides long. RefSeq lists it as uncharacterized. The record is from RefSeq and is a predicted model, not a curated record. NCBI's taxonomy places the organism in Eukaryota, Viridiplantae, Streptophyta, Magnoliopsida, Gentianales, Rubiaceae.
AUAGGAACUGGUGGAGAGAACCUUUUGGUAAGGGACUAUUCAUUGAUAGUCAUAGUUUCGGGCGAUGUUGGUUCUUGGAUUGAGUCCAGAAAUGGUGGUCGUAAUCAACACAGGAGAUAGGACAUUGUGCAUAGGAGCAUCUACCUUCAUUGCUGAAUUAUGUUUUGGAAAUCAAGCAUUAAUAGCGACAAAGGCAAUAAUCUUCCCAUUUUCCUCGCAGGUGAAUGUGGAAGGUGGAACAAGUAUUGCUGAUGAAGUCUAACCUGAGAAGCCAACUAAAAAUAAAGUUUUUGUGAAGCCAAAACUUGUAGCUAUAAUUGCAACUAGUUUGGAUCUUGAAGAAGUUAAGAAAGAAAAAAACAAGCAUGAUCCUGUUCCCCUUUGUACAAAUUUGUACACAAAAAACUCUUGCUUUCUUGUUGGUUUCUAUUUCCAGUAGUAACUUUUACCAUUUUCUUAAUAGAGUUGGUGAUCACAUGUAUUUCUAACUUAAGAUAAAUAAAAGUUUGAUAGCAAUCUUGAUUCA